This 950-nucleotide ribosomal RNA is filed under the name uncultured Methanosaeta sp. Its description in RNAcentral is "bacterial SSU rRNA". It matches the Rfam family "Archaeal small subunit ribosomal RNA", at positions 85 to 1035 of the family's 1478-position model. Lineage: Archaea; Methanobacteriati; Methanobacteriota; Methanomicrobia; Methanotrichales; Methanotrichaceae. The record is from RNAcentral.
ACUGCUCAGUAACACGUGGACAACCUACCCUUCGGUCCGGCAUAAUCCUGGGAAACUGGGGAUAAUUCCGGAUAGGCCACAGAUGUUGGAAUGCACUGUGGUCCAAAGCUCCGGCGCCGAAGGAUGGGUCUGCGGCCUAUCAGGGUUGUAGUGGGUGUAACGUACCUACUAGCCUACGACGGGUACGGGUUGUGAGAGCAAGAGCCCGGAGAUGGAUUCUGAGACACGAAUCCAGGCCCUACGGGGUGCAGCAGGCGCGAAAACUUUACAAUGCGGGAAACCGUGAUAAGGGAAUCUCGAGUGCCAGCAUAUAAUGUUGGCUGUCCAGAUGCCUAAAAAGCAUCUGUUAGCAAGGGCCGGGCAAGACCGGUGCCAGCCGCCGCGGUAACACCGGCGGCCCGAGUGGUAACCGUUUUUAUUGGGUCUAAAGGGUCUGUAGCCGGCCAUGUAAGUCCCUUGGGAAAUCUGGCAGCUCAACUGUCAGGCUGCUAGGGGAUACUGCUUGGCUUGGGACCGGGAGAGGUGAGAGGUACCUUGAGGGUAGGGGUGAAAUCUUGUGAUCCUCGGGGGACCACCAGUGGCGAAGGCGUCUCACCAGAACGGGUCCGACGGUAAGGGACGAAAGCUAGGGGCACGAACCGGAUUAGAUACCCGGGUAGUCCUAGCCGUAAACGAUGCUCGCUAGGUGUCAGUCACGGUGCGACCGUGAUUGGUGCCGUANGGAAGCCGUGAAGCGAGCCACCUGGGAAGUACGGCCGCAAGGCUGAAACUUAAAGGAAUUGGCGGGGGAGCACUACAACGGGUGGAGCCUGCGGUUUAAUUGGAUUCAACGCCGGAAAUCUCACCGGGGGCGACAGCAAUAUGAAGGUCAGGCUGAAGANCUUACCGGAUUAGCUGAGAGNUGGUGCAUGGCUGUCGUCAGUUCGUACUGUGAAGCAUCCUGUUAAGUC